CUCGUGUCGUGAGAUUGUUGGGUUAAGUCCCGCAACGAGCGCAACCCUCGUCCUUAGUUGCUAACAGUUCGGCUGAGCACUCUAGGGAGACUGCCCUUCGCAAGGAGGAGGAAGGUGAGGACGACGUCAAGUCAUCAUGGCCCUUACGGCCAGGGCUACACACGUGCUACAAUGGGGCGUACAGAGAGCUGCGAUACCGCGAGGUGGAGCCAAUCUCUUAAAGCGUCUCUCAGUUCGGAUUGUUCUCUGCAACUCGAGAACAUGAAGCUGGAAUCACUAGUAAUCGCAGAUCAGCUAUGCUGCGGUGAAUACGUUCCCGGGUCCU
This 325-nucleotide ribosomal RNA is filed under the name uncultured Sulfuricurvum sp. RNAcentral describes it as "bacterial SSU rRNA". It matches the Rfam family "Bacterial small subunit ribosomal RNA", at positions 1059 to 1382 of the family's 1533-position model. Lineage: Bacteria; Pseudomonadati; Campylobacterota; Epsilonproteobacteria; Campylobacterales; Sulfurimonadaceae. The record is from RNAcentral.